GGGUAGGGAAAAAAAAACAAACAGCUACAACUUCUGCUUCAGUUUCACCAAAGCAAAUUUAACAGAUGAAGCAUGAAUUUUAUAUUCCAGCUUGAAAACCAUUGUCACGAAUGGCUGUCAGCAGAGAGGAAAACAAGUGAGAGAAUGAAAUAUAUGGGGAAAGAACAAAAACUGAGGAUGUCAGACAAAGCCAAGACACAGAUUGGAGUCAGCUGAUGAUUAAUAAACCCAAACUUUGAUGUCUGAAUGCACUUAAAGAUUGUCUUCUAGUCAAGAGCAGUGCAACAGGUGCAGUUGAUUGAAUCUGGAGAAUAACACAGCUGACCUAAAUUGACAUGCUAUUGCCUAAAGAGAUGGGUCUACUGCCCUUUAGAUGCCCUAGGUUGAGAGGGAAAUAACAAGGGGUCUACUGGUUCUGUAACAGGAUGUGAAAAGAAUAUUUGCCUUGAUAGACAAAACUCUUUGCAUCAGCAUAAAAAUAUUUCAAGAACCAAUAAAGAUUUCUUCUCUUUUCUCAAAACAUCAUUACAGA
Molecule: long non-coding RNA, 532 nt
Organism: Numida meleagris (helmeted guineafowl)
Lineage: Eukaryota; Metazoa; Chordata; Aves; Galliformes; Numididae
Exons: 3
Source: RefSeq, a predicted model, not a curated record